UCCACGUCUUCCUCAGACAGAGAAGAGCACAGUUCUUGGAUCUUUCGAGUCAGCAGUACCACUUCUUUCUAAAAAAGAGAUUGAACCCUUUUCUUUCCAGGAAAAUCUUUCACAAGAUUCCAGAUUUGAAUUCAAAAAUCUCCCCACAAAGAUUAUAUGACAUUCACCUGUGUUUGGGAAAAAAAAUUAUUUUCAACACUGGAGAAAAAGACAUCUCAGAAAAGUCGUGGAGAAGUAGGAUAGUGGCAAAGAUACUAGUGAAAGAAGAAAAUUUGUGGAAUAGAAGUUCAGCUAAUGUGACAACCAAGAAAUUGGAAAGAAACUGGGGGAGCACUUCCAACUAAUAACCAACCCCCAAUUUUAUUAGACAUUAUAGAUUCUGACUUAAUGGAAUAUCUUGAGGAAAAUGAAGAAGAGAAUCAGAAUCAGGUGGCAAAAAACUAAUGGAAAAAUCAAUACAUGCUUCCCAGAAGUACUUAACUCAGAAGAAGAGAAAACAAAAAACUCUGAAAACCCUGGGCAAAACUUGACUGAAAACCCAUGUAGAGCAGGAAGACUCCAGCCAACUCUAGCAAAACCAUCUUGUCCCCUGCUCUCAAGAGACCCUCUCCAAUUCUCAAUGACUUUUGUUAAUAAAGUUCAUGAAGAUCAGAUAAGAGAAACAGAAUCAGAAUCAGAAUUGGAAAGAAGGAAUAAAGAACCAAAGAGCAAGAAACGGUCAAGGAUGAGUGAACACCUAGAUUCUGAUGUGAAUAUUUCCAAAAAUCCCGUUUUUUCAAAUAUUCAAAACAAAAACAUUUCAGAAAACGAGAGUGACAAAAUUACUGGUGGAAUGAGCAAACACAUACAACAGAAUUACAGCCAAUUUGAAGACCAAGAAAAUCAGGAAGCAUUUAACAUUAACCACCAGCCCCCAAAUACAUUUGAAAGUUAUGGAACCCUGAUCCCGGACACAAUCCCUAUUUCCAACGCUUCUUCAUUGGAAAGAAUCUUCGAGAAUCUAGGCCCAACUGACAAAUUUGAUGCCCUGAUGAGGGGAGAAUUCGUACUAGAUAUCAUUGAGUCUGAUUUCUUACCUGACUCUCCUGAUCUGAACAGACCAACAAAUAAAAAUAAAGAACAAAAGGAAGAAAACACAAAGGCAUCUGGUGAUCAAAAAGGAAUGAAAGUACAAAAGUUCUUAGGGCAUCAGUUUAAAAUUCUCAAGGAGCCCUUUUAUAAAAAUGAGUAUAACUCACCUAAUAAAGUCAAGGCUUUUUCUAAGACAUUGAACUUGACUCCACAGCAGGCAACUGAUGAAAUUCCAACCACCAGCAUGAACAACUCCUCUCUACAGAAAGGAAUCUUACUGGACUUAUCAAAUGAUAAGAAGAGAGAUGUGAUUCUUAAAUCUGAGAAUCCUGAGAAGAUGGAUUUCUUGCUCCAAACUCCACCUUUGACCAGAUUCAAAAAUGAGGAUGCAGAGAACAUAGAACCAGCUUCUAGACAAGAAAACAAAAUACGAUACAAAUUUUCAGAAUAUCAGUUACAGAUUCUCAGUGAAUACUUUCAGAGAAAUGAAUAUAUAAGACCUAAUGAAGUCAAGUUUCUUUCCAACACACUGGCUGUCUCACCCCAGCGGAUCAAAUUCUGGUUUGGUAACCAGAGAGCAAAGAAGAAGAAGAUGGGUACAUCAAACAGCACAUGAAAUGUGGAAGAUGUCAGAUGUACAGGAGCUGUUUUCUCAUAUCCAAGUUCCCAGAAUCCCAUGGUUACUGCUAUUUCUUCAUUCUAUGACCAUCAUAAUGCAAGAUGGAUACUCAUUCUUCUGUAAACUUACCCUCCCAGUAUUAUCAGUCAAUGCAAGGAAGUGGCUUCUGUGCUUCACAAGACCAAUUUCUUUAUCCGGGGCUGGGGUGAAUAUAUUUUGUCAAUAGGAUCAUCAACUUGUAAAUAGCUGAUAUUCAAUUAAAAAGGUACAAAUUGUUUAAUAGCUAUGAAAUAUUAAAUAGCAU
This is a long non-coding RNA of Sarcophilus harrisii (Tasmanian devil), 1994 nucleotides long. The record is from Ensembl. Lineage: Eukaryota; Metazoa; Chordata; Mammalia; Dasyuromorphia; Dasyuridae.